CAGACUGAUGAGUCUAAGGCGAAUGUGACUCUAUGCCCUCUGACAUUUGGCUCCUGGGGCAGGGCUGGGGGAGAGAGCACAGAUGGAAUCUGAAAUCUUGGUGGGGAUACCUGAGUCCUGGUUUCCUGCUGUAAGGCCAGAUUAAUAGCACCACUGGCCUUGCCCGCAUGUGUGCUGCAGCCCCAGUUGUUGGCCGUAGCCUGCAGGGAGGCCCACAGAUGGGGUCAAAGUGAGGGGGGGCACAAGCCAUGUGAGCACAACCUUGGAUCUGACA
RNAcentral lists this small nucleolar RNA (274 nucleotides) under Castor canadensis (American beaver). Lineage: Eukaryota; Metazoa; Chordata; Mammalia; Rodentia; Castoridae. The record is from RNAcentral.